Oreochromis aureus is the source of this 1793-nucleotide long non-coding RNA. The record is from Ensembl. Lineage: Eukaryota; Metazoa; Chordata; Actinopteri; Cichliformes; Cichlidae.
CCCAGCCAGAAAUGGAGAAGUAGCUGAAAGAGGAAGAAGAGUGGCUGGGAGGGGGCGAGGAAUACGUAUGCGUGGUGGAAGAAGAAUAAGAGGAAGAUCAAGAGCUGUAGUCGCAGAUGAGAUCAGAGCUACUGUAAUUGAUCAUGUAGUAAAUCAUGGUCACUCGAUGAGAGAGGCUGGUCAGAGAGUGCAGCCAAAUCUGCAACGCUCUACAGUGGCAUCUAUUGUUAGAGUUUUCCGGCAAACCAACAGGACUCAACGGUUACCUCACACAGGAGGGAGAGGACGGAUGUUCACUGAUGUGCAGGAAACUGCCAUUGUUGAUAUGGUCAUCAGAAACAAUGGGAUAAAACUCACUGAAAUUAGACACAGAGUCUUGGCAGACAACGUUACUUUCGGAAAUAUUCACAGUGUAAGCAUAACAACAAUUUCUAGAGUCCUGAAAAAACAUCAGGUCAAGAUGAAACAGUUGCACACUGUGCCUUUUAGAGGAACUCUGAACAUGUCAAGCAACUCAGGAACCAGUAUGUCCAGAGAGUCAUGGAGAUUGAAGGCAGGCAAACACACCACAUUUUCAUCUUUGUGGAUGAGGCAGGUUUCAAUCUGGCCAAAGCACGGCGACGAGGGAGGAAUGUGAUUGGGAAGAGAGCCACAGUGAAUGUCCCGGGCCAGAGGGGUGCCAACAUCACAAUGUGCGCAGCAAUAUCCACUGAUGGACUGCUGUUACACAGACCACUAAUUGGGCCAUACAACACUGAACGGCUCCUUGCGUUCCUGCAUGAUCUCUAUGGAAGGGUUGUGCUAGGUGAGGAAAGGGAUGCGGAGAGAAGGAAUCAGCCAACAUUUAUAAUUGUAUGGGACAAUGUGGCAUUUCAUCACUCCCGUGCAGUCACUGAGUGGUUUGCAGCCCAUCCCAGAAUGGAGUCUCUUUUCCUCCCACCUUACUCUCCAUUCCUCAACCCCAUAGAGGAAUUCUUUUCCUCAUGGCGGUGGAAGGUUUACGACCAUCAUGAUCAAAUGUCCCUCCUGGAUGCAAUGAAUGCUGGAUGCCUGGAGAUAUCAGCAGGAGAUUGCCAGGGAUGGAUCAGGCAUGCCAGAAGAUUCUUUCCUAGGUGUAUUGCCCUAGAUGACAUAAGAUGUGAUGUGGAUGAGAACCUGUGGCCAAAUGGAGAAGACCGAGUAGAUUAGCAUUACUAUUGUAUGUGUAUCAGUGGAUGGUGUGUAUACAAAUUCUUGUAUUUUGGGAUUACUUAGUGCAAAAAAAUAAGAAUACAUAAACAAAUAUUAACGAAUUCUGCAUGAUGUCUGAUUCAUUCCAGUAACAUAUAUUGAAAUUAUGAACAGAGAUGUGUCCUUGUUUUACACAAGAAAACACUGUAAUGCUACAUGUUGUUAGUGUUUUUUAGGUCAUUGUUUUGUGGGUGACAAAGUGUGUUUGUCGGCUGUCAACCUUUGCUAGUGUUCUGGAAGAAUGAGUUUAUUUGAGACCUGAAUAAAGUGUUUAGGUAGUUCUAGUGCAUUUUGAAUGUGAAAUGAACUGCUUUGCCAAGCUGAGGGUCAGUUAGGAGAAUUGUGUGAAGAGUUUUGCAAAAGUGACCUAAGUAUUGAGAAAUGUGUCCUAGCGGCUGUAAAAAAACUGUAAUGAUGAGCACAAGUUAGAUUAAGCAUUCUGUGGAAAUGUUACUUUAGUGAUGGAAAACUCAACUUCCUCUUAUUGCUGUAAUGAAACUGCAUAUUAUUCUUUUACAGCUACCACAACAUGGUGCCAUUUUAAUCACCUGUCUGUGUGCGUC